This 619-nucleotide ribosomal RNA is filed under the name Klebsiella pneumoniae. Its description in RNAcentral is "partial 23S ribosomal RNA". It matches the Rfam family "Bacterial large subunit ribosomal RNA", at positions 617 to 1237 of the family's 2925-position model. RNAcentral also lists the same sequence under 1 other name. Lineage: Bacteria; Pseudomonadati; Pseudomonadota; Gammaproteobacteria; Enterobacterales; Enterobacteriaceae. The record is from RNAcentral.
GGGUCAGCGACUUAUAUUCUGUAGCAAGGUUAACCGUAUAGGGGAGCCGCAGGGAAACCGAGUCUUAACUGGGCGUUAAGUUGCAGGGUAUAGACCCGAAACCCGGUGAUCUAGCCAUGGGCAGGUUGAAGGUUGGGUAACACUAACUGGAGGACCGAACCGACUAAUGUUGAAAAAUUAGCGGAUGACUUGUGGCUGGGGGUGAAAGGCCAAUCAAACCGGGAGAUAGCUGGUUCUCCCCGAAAGCUAUUUAGGUAGCGCCUCGUGAACUCAUCUUCGGGGGUAGAGCACUGUUUCGGCUAGGGGGUCAUCCCGACUUACCAACCCGAUGCAAACUACGAAUACCGAAGAAUGUUAUCACGGGAGACACACGGCGGGUGCUAACGUCCGUCGUGAAGAGGGAAACAACCCAGACCGCCAGCUAAGGUCCCAAAGUCAUGGUUAAGUGGGAAACGAUGUGGGAAGGCACAGACAGCCAGGAUGUUGGCUUAGAAGCAGCCAUCAUUUAAAGAAAGCGUAAUAGCUCACUGGUCGAGUCGGCCUGCGCGGAAGAUGUAACGGGGCUAAACCAUGCACCGAAGCUGCGGCAGCGACACUAUGUGUUGUUGGGUAGGGGAGC